GCAUUUGGGAUAGCUCUGUCGGUAGAGCAUGGGACUUGCAAUCUCAGGGUUGUGGGUUCAAGCCCCACGUAGGGCA
This is a non-coding RNA of Podarcis lilfordi (Lilford's wall lizard), 76 nucleotides long. The record is from the annotation of a GenBank genome assembly. Lineage: Eukaryota; Metazoa; Chordata; Lepidosauria; Squamata; Lacertidae.